GAUGAACGCUGGCGGCGUGCCUAAUACAUGCAAGUCGAGCGAACAGACGAGGAGCUUGCUCCUCUGACGUUAGCGGCGGACGGGUGAGUAACACGUGGAUAACCUACCUAUAAGACUGGGAUAACUUCGGGAAACCGGAGCUAAUACCGGAUAAUAUAUUGAACCGCAUGGUUCAAUAGUGAAAGACGGUUUUGCUGUCACUUAUAGAUGGAUCCGCGCCGCAUUAGCUAGUUGGUAAGGUAACGGCUUACCAAGGCAACGAUGCGUAGCCGACCUGAGAGGGGGAUCGGCCACACUGGAACUGAGACACGGUCCAGACUCCUACGGGAGGCAGCAGUAGGGAAUCUUCCGCAAUGGGCGAAAGCCUGACGGAGCAACGCCGCGUGAGUGAUGAAGGUCUUCGGAUCGUAAAACGCUGUUAUUAGGGAAGAACAAAUGUGUAAGUAACUAUGCACGUCUUGACGGUACCUAAGCAGAAAGCCACGGCUAACUACGU
Molecule: ribosomal RNA, 496 nt
Filed under: uncultured bacterium
Lineage: Bacteria
Description: partial 16S ribosomal RNA
Rfam family: Bacterial small subunit ribosomal RNA
Source: RNAcentral